RNAcentral lists this small RNA (698 nucleotides) under Lycoperdon echinatum. RNAcentral's name for it is "eukaryotic LSU rRNA". The stretch from base 287 to 440 matches the Rfam family "5.8S ribosomal RNA". Lineage: Eukaryota; Fungi; Basidiomycota; Agaricomycetes; Agaricales; Lycoperdaceae. The record is from RNAcentral.
CAUUAUUGAAUAUUCUUGAUGGGUUGUAGCUGGCUCUCCGGGGCAUGUGCACACUUGUCUUGACUUUAUUCGUCCACCUGUGCACCUUUUGUAGUCUUGGGGGUUGAGAACAAAUCGACUAUCGGAUGGCUAUGGCCUUUCCGGACGUGAGGAUUGCUGAGUGUGAAAGCAUACAGCUCUUCUCAAAUGACUUGUAAACUCUCCCUCGAGUACUAUGUAUUCAUAUACCACAUAGUAUGUUGUAGAAUGUGAUCAAUGGGCCUACGUGCCUAUAAUAAUCAUAUACAACUUUCAGCAACGGAUCUCUUGGCUCUCGCAUCGAUGAAGAACGCAGCGAAAUGCGAUAAGUAAUGUGAAUUGCAGAAUUCAGUGAAUCAUCGAAUCUUUGAACGCACCUUGCGCUCCUUGGUAUUCCGAGGAGCAUGCCUGUUUGAGUGUCAUUAAAUUCUCAACCCUUCCAGCUUUUGCGAGUUGUGAUGGGCUUGGAUAUGGGAGUUUGCGGGUCUUUAUCAAUAAAGGUCAGCUCUCCUGAAAUACAUUAGCGGAACCGUUUGCAGUCCCGUCACUAGUGUGAUAAUUAUCUACACUGUGAUGAUUGCUCUCUGACUAGUUCAGCUGCUAAUCGUCCACUAUGGACAACACUUAAUGAACUUCUUGACCUCAAAUCAGGUAGGACUACCCGCUGAACUUAAGCAUAC